UCUCACGUCACUCAGCCCCAACGCACACAUCUCACUCUAGCCUCUUCCCUCUAUUACCCCAUGAUCACACAUCCACAACAUCAUAUACACACACGAUCUCACCUUCACAUCUCUGAAGGCAUAAUCCCAUUUACUAUAUAAAAGGACACGAAAGAGAGGAGGAGAUUGAAAGAAAAGGGGGACAUCUUGGAACAGAAGGAAGUAACAACGAGAAAGAGAAAGGGAGUUUACAGACGGAGUUCGAGAUUUUAUUUGCGAUCUUAAAUUUGAGGUUCUAAAAUAGUUAGCAUUAUUAACUUUAGAAAUUAAUAAAUUAUGGUUGUUAUUUUUAUUGUAAAAAGCUUUAGGAAUUUCCUUAUCUAACAUGAAUUUUUUUUUUAUUGGUUCUGAUUAAUUUUAGUUUUAUCUUUUUAUUUCCAUCUCUAGAACUGUUGUCACCGGGGGUCGAUUGGAAACAGCUUCUCUGCCCUUUCGAGUAGGGGUAAGGCUUGUCUACAUAUUACCCUCCCCAGACCCCAACUAGUGGAAGUAUACUGGGUAGUAAUUAUUGUUGUUGUUGCUUUGUUCUAGUUCCGGUUUUUUUCUUUUUAGUAAAACAAUUGUAUUGUACAAUGUUAGUAGUCUUAAGUUUAUUUCAAAUGUUUGAUUCAUCACAAUAUUAGUUGUGACAUACGAGGUAGUGAGGGACGUAUGUGCAUGAAAGCACACUGGUUUGGUGAUACAAAUAAGUCCUAAGCAGUAACAAAAAUAAAAAUAUUCAGCUGUAAUGGAAAGUUACUGAGUAGCAUUUUAUCUUGGCUUUAUACAUAAUUUACCACCCAAUCAUUGGCCCAAAUCCCCCUUAUACACUUUCUGUGGACAAUAAUAACCUUAUACAAAAAAUCUUUCUAAAGUGUACUUAGUAUCCACCUCCUUUGACCAGAUCCUCUUAAUAAGAACUCUGUGUAUGUCAC
RNAcentral lists this long non-coding RNA (953 nucleotides) under Nicotiana benthamiana. Its description in RNAcentral is "long non-coding RNA (NBEN_LNC030986)". Lineage: Eukaryota; Viridiplantae; Streptophyta; Magnoliopsida; Solanales; Solanaceae. The record is from RNAcentral.